UACGUAGGGGGCAAGCGUUGUCCGGAAUCACUGGGCGUAAAGGGUGCGUAGGCGGCCGUGCAAGUCUGGCGUGAAAGCCCCGGGCUCAGCCCGGGAAGUGCGCUCGAAACUGCGCGGCUCGAGUGCCGGAGGGGAGAGUGGAAUUCCUGGUGUAGCGGUGAAAUGCGUAGAUAUCAGGAGGAAUACCGGUGGCGAAAGCGACUCUCUGGACGGCAACUGACGCUGAGGCACGAAAGCGUGGGGAGCAAACAGG
This 253-nucleotide ribosomal RNA is filed under the name uncultured bacterium. RNAcentral describes it as "partial 16S ribosomal RNA". It matches the Rfam family "Bacterial small subunit ribosomal RNA", at positions 524 to 776 of the family's 1533-position model. The record is from RNAcentral.